GGGAAUCUACCCAGAUCUACGGAACAACAGUUGGAAACGACUGCUAAUACCGUAUACGCCCUACGGGGGAAAGAUUUAUCGGAUUUGGAUGAGCCCGCGUAAGAUUAGCUAGUUGGUGGGGUAAUGGCCUACCAAGGCGACGAUCUUUAGCUGGUCUGAGAGGAUGAUCAGCCACACUGGGACUGAGACACGGCCCAGACUCCUACGGGAGGCAGCAGUGGGGAAUAUUGGACAAUGGGCGCAAGCCUGAUCCAGCCAUGCCGCGUGAGUGAUGAAGGCCUUAGGGUUGUAAAGCUCUUUCACCGAUGAAGAUAAUGACGGUAGUCGGAGAAGAAGCCCCGGCUAACUUCGUGCCAGCAGCCGCGGUAAUACGAAGGGGGCUAGCGUUGUUCGGAUUUACUGGGCGUAAAGCGCACGUAGGCGGUUUGUUAAGUCAGGGGUGAAAUCCCAGAGCUCAACUCUGGAACUGCCUCUGAUACUGGCAAGCUAGAGUCCGGAAGAGGUAAGUGGAACUCCUAGU
Molecule: ribosomal RNA, 520 nt
Filed under: uncultured bacterium
Lineage: Bacteria
Description: bacterial SSU rRNA
Rfam family: Bacterial small subunit ribosomal RNA
Source: RNAcentral